Non-coding RNA from Musa acuminata subsp. malaccensis (wild Malaysian banana), 584 nucleotides. Lineage: Eukaryota; Viridiplantae; Streptophyta; Magnoliopsida; Zingiberales; Musaceae. The record is from RefSeq and is a predicted model, not a curated record.
GGGCUCCUCCAGCAACAUGGACUGUGUUUGGAGGAACAUUUGCCUGUUCUUCCCAUCAUUAUUCUUGAAGUUGAAUCCUCGAACAAGCUGCAUAUCAGAGUGUUUCCAUCCGCUCGGGUGCUCAUCGGAACGGGGAUUCCAAUCCUUCAGAGAAGAUCCCAAGUUCUUCGACGGAUCAUCAUGAUUGGAUGCUCACAGAAGGAGAUCAAGUGAAAUUGCUGUGAUUCAAUUAUCUAGUAGUGGUUCUGUGAGAUCAUAGUCCAAAGCACAUUAUUAUCUUUGCUGACACGGCGAUAGCGACUCCCACACGAAAUCAAUGACGAAAGUGAAACAUGGCCUUUCCUUCAAGCUAAAGGAAGAAGAAAAGUUGCAGAUGGACAAGUUGCACACGAAAUCAUAGAGAUUGCAUUCACAUAGUAAUUAUCUUAGAACACAGAGUCAAGAGUCAUACAUCCACAACUACAAUCUAAAACGAGGAAGAGAGAGAGGUGUUCUUUCUCAUACAUCAGCCAACCAUAUCAUCUUAUUUUAUAGCAGUAGUAGGACUCACUCUCUAGACACAAACUAGGAAGCACCACAGAGAC